GUCGAGGGGCAGCGGGAAGGUUAGCUUGCUAACCUUUGCCGGCGACCGGCGCACGGGUGAGUAACACGUAUGCAACCUGUCCGGUACAGGGGGAUAAGCGGCGGAAACGCCGUCUAAUACCGCGUGACAACCCGAGGGGGCAUCCCCUUGGGUUCAAAGGAGAGAUCCGGUACCGGCUGGGCAUGCGGCGCAUUAGCUAGUUGGCGGGGCAACGGCCCACCAAGGCGACGAUGCGUAGGGGUUCUGAGAGGAAGGUCCCCCACACUGGAACUGAGACACGGUCCAGACUCCUACGGGAGGCAGCAGUGAGGAAUAUUGGUCAAUGGGCGCAAGCCUGAACCAGCCAAGUCGCGUGAGGGAAGACGGCCCUACGGGUUGUAAACCUCUUUUGCCGGGGAGCAAGCCUGAGCACGUGUGCCCAGGCGGAGAGUACCCGGAGAAAAAGCAUCGGCUAACUCCGUGCCAGCAGCCGCGGUAAUACGGAGGAUGCGAGCGUUAUCCGGAUUUAUUGGGUUUAAAGGGUGCGCAGGCGGGCUGUUAAGCCGGCGGUAAAAAUUCAGGGCUCAACCCUGUCGAGCCGUCGGAA
Molecule: ribosomal RNA, 586 nt
Filed under: uncultured bacterium
Lineage: Bacteria
Description: bacterial SSU rRNA
Rfam family: Bacterial small subunit ribosomal RNA
Source: RNAcentral